CAGAGAUUUAUGACAGAUAAUAGUGUUACAAUGUCACUAUUGAUAAAUUUUAAAAAUGUAUGUUUUGAAACCACAAUAUCCUACUUGUACCUAUAGCCCUAUAACAUGCAAAAAAAAGCACGUAAACACUGGGUAUUUUUAAACUCAGGACAAAACUUUGAAUCUAUUUAGCAGUUUUUUUCAUUCGUUUUUGUAGAUGAGUAAAAGAUUUUUCAAGUAAAAGUCAAAAAACAUGUAUUUUUUUCAAUUUUUCAUCAUAUUUUUUUUUAAUUAAAAUACAUGAGAUUAUAUAAAUAAUGGUAUGUAAAGAAAGCCCCUUUUGUCCUGAAAAAAAAAUAUAUAAUUUGUGUGGGAACAGUAAAUGAGAGAGCGGAAAAUUACAGCCAAACACAAACACCACAAAAGUGUAAAAAUAUGCCUGGUCGCUAAUGUACAACAUCGCAAAAACAGUCCAGUCCUUAAGGGGUUAAAAUCUAAGAAAUGUUCAUUUUUCAAUUUCUGCGUGCAGGGUCGUCUUUAAUAUUGAUUGGACCCUGGGCAAAGCAUUUGCUUGGGCCUUCUGGACCCUGUACAACCUCCCCAGGUGUGCAAUCACCCUUAACGCAGUGGCAUCCUAAAGUAGAGAGGUGCAAGAAUAUUUUUUGGGCUCUCCAUAUUGCAAAGAUGUUUAAAAGGUAGAUCUACAUUGACACACAUUCACAGACACACACAGGCAUACUGACACAUACACUGACAGACAUAUUGAAACACACAUAUACAAAGACAUACGGACAUACAUUCACAGGCAUACUGACACACACACUGACAGACAUACUGACACACACAGGCAGACAUACUGACACAUACAUUGACAGACAUACUGACAUAGACAUAUACUGAGACAUUCACAGAUACACACACACUGACAGGCAUACUGACACAUACACUGACAGACAUUCUAACGCACACAGGCAGACAUACUGACAGACCUAUUGACACACACAAGCAGAAAUACUGACACAUAGACUGACAGACAUAAUGACACACACAGGCAGACAUACUGACACAUACACUGACAGACAUAAUGACAUACAGACAUAUACUGAGACAUUCACAGGUACACACACACACUGGCAGACAUACUGACACACACACACACAGACACACAAAAUUUACACUAUUAAACCCACCCUCCAGUGUCCUACCUUGGAGGAUGAUGUUCCCACUGGUGGCUGAAGCUGUUGGGAGUUGGGGGUCUAGCUAGUUCGGCUCGGCCCAGAUGCCCUCCGCUCUUCCUCUUCCUCCUCCCACGCGGCUCCUCUCUUUAUGGGAGGAAGUGACUUGCGGCCGUCACUUCAGCCCAGCUGACGAAAAGCGAGAGGGCCAGAUCGCAAGACUGGGCCCCCGCUCACAGAAGCCCACCGGGUGGUCCUUAGUGCAUGGGCCACCCGGUUGGCCUCCUUAGUGUGGCUCACCGGCGGGUGGGAGUAACUGGGCCCGGGGCAGCUGCCUCGUUUUCCCCGCGGUUCAAUAAUGUCUCAUGAUUAAAACACUACCCCCAGGUUUUUAUGGAGUUUUGGAAAGUUACAAUGUCUAAUAUAGAGCUUUCCACUUUUCAGUUUUUACUCACUGAAAUUUGCUAGAUUGGUUUGCCUGGAAUGAGAAUUACCCCCAUCAUGGCAUACCAUUUGCAAAACUAGUCAAUUCUAAAUUGGGUAUGUCCAGUCUUAUUUAGUAGCUGUGACGAGACAAUCUCGCCACUGUGCAUUGGAGGAGCCUGGUUGCCCGCCUGCUGCCUUUAGACUAUGGCCCCAUGUUGAAACGCUUGAUUUUCCCCUGCAAAGACAUGAAAGCCGGGUCAUUCGGUUUGUCCUGUUUGAGCGGUGAUACGCCAGAUAGCUAUGCCAUGGAGCCCAUUCAUAUAAUGAAAGACUAUGGGAAAGACUUUGGCUCCAUGGCAAUUGAACUGUAUGUGUGUGGUCUGAGCCCAAUUCAGUAAUAAUGUGUGCUCAGACCUAAGCUAUCUGGGGAUAUGUUGCAUGUCUGUAUUUUAUGUAAUAAAUGUAACCUUGUGUAUUUUAUUGUAUUUUACUGUCUUUUUACUGCCAUGUGCUUAAUGGAGUUUUGCCUCUGUCCUUGGAGAUAAUUGGAUUACUUCCCAAUUAUCUCCAGGAUAGAAGACUCGGUGGAACUGGUUUUGGGCAGAAAAGCCAUGCUUCAUUUGGUCACAAAGGACUACGAUCUAUCUUUUGAACCAAUGGACCAAUUUGGAUGAUUUUGACAUAUGUUUGUAUUUGGAGUAUGCUGAUUCUGAAAAUGUAAGGUUUUUUUUAUGUGAAUGUGAUGCAUACUUUUCAAGUUAUGAAUAAUGUGGAAAAAUUGUAUUUCUCUGCUUGUGAUAAUUACAUUACCCAUUGUGUAAGGUAAUUGUAUCACAGGCAGAGGGGAGGAUUUUGUGUGGGAGUGUCUGAGUGUUUUGUAUGUGUUUAUUGGUUGUGUUCCAAAACCCUGUGGGUGGUACUAAUGUGUAUAUAAGAACAAUAAACCCACAGCUCUGUCUGUUCACUGCUUGACCCUCGACACGGAGCUUUGUCUUGUUCUUGGGGGGAUUUAUCAUGCUGUUCCAGUUCGACUGCUAGGAGUGUAAACCUAUUUGUAUGGUUUUUCCUAUUCAGCUGAUUACAGCAUUCAUAUGGUUUCCUGUUCGGCGGAUUGGUGUUCUGCAGUAGCUGUGCCUGUGUCUCUGGAAGGGAAGAUCUACUAAACGGCGGUUUAGCCCUUUUAUGUCUGGGGGUGCCGUUACAGUAGCCAUUUAGUCACAAACCCUGUAACGAUAUGAAAAUCGGGUACACCAAAACAAUCUCGAUCUUACUUACAAAACACAUAUAACCUUAUAACAGAGCUCCCGUACUCCAACUGAGUACCUCUGCCAGGUCAACCUAAUCUCUGUUACCAGGGACUCUGGAGUGCUUCAGACCCAGUCACCAAAGCUGGACUGAGGGUUUUGAGGGCCUCUCUUACCGGACCAGGCUGCUGCCCCCCUUUUCCAGCUAGGUAUUGUCCUCUGUCUUUGCCUCUUCUGUCUUUGCCCAGGGUAUUCAAAAUGUGGUAUGUCCAGUCUUUUUUAGUAGUCACUUAGCCACAAUUUGCCUGGCUAUUAGUUUUUUUGCAUUUUUCACACAAAAACGGCACUUUCACCGAUGAUAUCAUCAUCAUCGUGAUACAUUUUAGUACUCUAAAACACUAAUAGUAAAACAUUCAGCUAUGUCUCAAUGUCUCACAAGUACAACAGUACCCCCUAUUUACAGAUUUUAUGGUGUUUUGGAAAGUCACAGGGUAAAUUUAAAUAUGUAAAAACUGGGCAAGCUUUUAUUUUGACCCUGUAACUUUCCACAACACCAUGAAACCUGUACAUUGGUGGCAUUGUUAUCUGUAUGAAUUUGUGUGUAUGUGUCGGUGUAUUUAUAUGCAUCUGUGUGUUAACAUGCAUGAAUAUCUGUGUAAGUAUGUAUGUAUGUGCAUACAUUCAAGCAGUCAAACACCAGCACAACAUACAAGCACACUCCUGCAAUCUAACACAAAUAUUAAAUACACACACCCCUGCAUUCAAAUUAAAAAAAUAUAUACAAACACACCCCCUCACUCAAACACAAAUACCUCACACAAAUGUACAUCCGCAUUUAAAUGUGAACAUUACAUUCAGACACAUCCCUGCAAUCAAACGCAAACAUUACAUACAAACACACCCCUGUAUUAAAACACAAUAAAUGUAUACAAGCACCCCUUCAAACACCAUCACUGUACAUUACACUAUAGCGCCAGUAAAUGCCGCAGCGCUGUACAGAUAUACAACCUAGAAAUUUUGACUUGGGGUGCCUUGGAAAAGUACUGAAAUACUAAGGGCGCCUUGAGCCUAAAAAGUUUGGGAACCAUUAGAUUAAUCUGUCUCACAGUCACAGCUCUCCUGAGUAAAAAUAAACAUCACCUGUUUGUAUUAAACCCAGGGGCAUUUUAGCCGCGAGGUUAACAAGGCAUUUGCCUUGGGCGGCAUUUUCCAGGGGGCGGCAAAAAAAGCCGCCCCCCAAGUGCCCAGGGCAAAUGCCUUGUUAACCUCGUGGCUAACUGACAUGCUGAUCGGGCGGCUGGCGAGGUAGCUCUUUUUCUGAGCGGUCUGCUCAGCUCCCUCGCGCGCCGCAGAGUGAGGCUGGGAGCCGGAAUAUGACGUCUUAUUCCGGCUCCCAGCCUCACUCUGCGGUGCGCGAGGGAGCUGAGCAGACAGCUCAGAGGAAGUGCUCCCAACCGCGCGCCCGCCAGCCGCCCGACUGCUCAGCAGCCACUGGACCACCACUGGACCACCCUCCCCCGCCCAGCAUUCCCAAAGGUAAGGAGGCUGGGGGGCGGGGAUUUAAUAAGUAAAAAAAAUAUGUUAAUGUGAGUAAGUGUGUGUAUAUGUGUGUGUUUAAAGAUUUACAAACAAAACGUUUAUCGUGAAAUAAUUAUAGCAGCUACCACUGUGAAUAGGGACUCUCCACCCUAUAUAUACAUAUAAAAGUGAACAAAGUGUAGGAGAUUAGAAAAAACUUUGAUUGAGUCACGUGGAACGCACCGAAACCGGAAGCUUGACGGCUACCAAUAAGAAUUAUCCUGCAAAGAAGUAUGUCAGUAUGGGGAUUGGAUAAUAAGAAGAUUGGAGCACCAAUCAAAUAGAAAGACAUGAUAUUUAAACCUCCGCAAGCAGCAAACACAUUACCGAUUGAGAAAGCUGUCACAGUACAGCAAAACGCGUCUCGGCUGGAAGAAAGGACUUUUAAUUGACUUUUUAUUCAUUUUUCUUUAUAUAAUUUAAUACUUCCUUUAUUUUGUUUGCAUUAUAUUUUAAUGAAUAAAUUUUGUCCAACAUUGAAGUCCUUCUUCCAUCUUUUUGCUGGUAAAAGAAGGGUGGUAGCCUCCUUAAAGGCACAGAAACCUACAUACUAGGAGCCAGGUAUAAGGGCUCCCUACCAGGUGAGAAGCCAUUUAUUUAAAUAUUCACCAUUGAACAUUGUGAUUUACUACACAAGGAUCUCUCCUUUUUUACUUCCUUUAUGUAUGUAUAAGGACCACAGACAAGUAGAGGAUCGAUUGGGUUUUGUGUCGCCUAAAGUACACACACGCCGCUGUGAUCUGAGCCUAUCCUAAUUGGCUCAGUUACAUGUGAGUGGGUCUAUAUAGUAUAUUUACUUACUGUGUCUGUUACCCAGCGUUACUUGCACUAUUUGUAUUUAUUUGUUUCAGAUACACUGUUUCAGAGUAUCCCCUUUAUAUAUUUGUAUGCAUACCCAUAUGGGUAAGUUGGUUAACAUUUGAGCGCUCCACAUGUACACCAGUGGUGGUUUUUUCUAAUCUCCUACACUGAGUGUUCACUUUGUUCACUUUUAUAUGUAUAUGUGUGUGUGUGUCUGUUAGUGAGUGUGUGUCUGUUAGUGAGUGUGUGUCUGUUAGUGUGUUUGUCUGUUAGUGUGUGUGUGUUUCUGUUAGCUAGUGUAUGCGUAUCUGUCAGUGAAUGUGUGUGUGUAUUUAGAAGGUGGGGCGGGGGCAAGGAUUGGGUGGGGUGGCACGGGGGGAGGGGGCACAAAACCAGGAUACACCACUGAUUAAACCCCAUUUGUUUUUGAAAAGUUCAAAAAAUCUUAUACAGCUACCAAAUACACCCAAAUGUCAUCAAAUCAUUUGUGAAUGAGAGAGAAUUUUUACUGUGAAUUCUACUCCAAGAUCGAAAACUCAACAAUCCCUGUCAUCACUUAAACAUUGAUGAAGUAGCCUUCACGCCGUAACAAAAAUAUGAUAAAAUAAUAGAAACUAGAAUAAGUUAAAGUAUUUAUUUUGGAUUUAGAGCAAGGGUUUGCAAUACUACCUCAUUUUUGGAUCAGCUUUUUCGCCUUUGUGUUCUUUUUUGUUGCUGUUUGAUGUAACAGAGUAUUAGUCAAAUUAACAAGCAAAACGAAGAAUAAAAAAAAUACUAUUCUUUUGUUUAUUUAAAAAAACAAUUAUUAAUGUUUUGGUGGUAGUGUUACUUUAAUGUGUAAGCUUUAAACACCAUUGUGUUAUAUGCAAAAAUAUAUAGAUUGUAAUGUAUUAUUAUGCAUAAUAAUUGUUGUGUAUUUAUUAUUAUUUUUAAUCCUUUACAAUUUAAAUUUGUAUUAUUGACAUAUAUGUUGCACCAGCAAAUUCCACAGUGCUUGACAAUAUCAUUAAGGGGAGUUCAGCAAUAAAUGAGACAAACUGUUACAGAUUUUGACAGGAACCAUAGGUUGAUGAGGACCAUACACACCAGGAAGGGCAGCGUGAGGGAAUGGAACCAAAUGACAGGGUAGAACAUUAGCAGAACUGGACAGUGAGAGUGAAGUGAAGAACGGACCCACUAAUUUAGUUGAGAGAGUAAAAGCAGUUACGUUUGGAUUCUGAAGAGGUGGAUUUUUAAGGACUUUUUUAGGGAAAGUUUUAUGGAAGAUAUAGAGUCAGCGAUGAGAUGCCUGCAAGCGCGAGUUAGCAGUAUGGGUACAUGCAGCAGACAGAAGAUAUUUAACGGCAGAGCGUUGCGUCUAGUGAAGGGGUAUACCUAUGAAUUGGUGAAAAAAAUAUAGGGGGGCACAGGGAGCAGAAUUUCAGUAAUCAAUGAGAUAAACUACAAGAGCACGAACAGGCUCCUUAGCAGCAUCAUGUGUAAGGAAACGGCGGAUGCAGGCAAUGUUUUGUAGAUACAAUUGGCAUGAAUUGGCGACACAUUGGAUAUGACUCGUAAUGUUGGGAUAUAACUGAAAACAAAAAAAAAAAGUGUGAAAGCAGAGGUUAUCGAGGGCCGUACUUGGGCAAGCCGGUUUAUCCCGAAGAAGAGGCCUGAGUGGUUUUAAAAUGCUAGCAUUCAGGAUCUCUAGUUUGCCAAUAACAAUGUAACCCUUACUACAAUGGUCUCCUGUAUAUCUGGACAUGGACUCUUAUACUAUAAACAUGGACUACUCUCUGCUCAGAAACCGCUGCUGAGGAAUACACGAUGCAGAUCACGAAACACAUAUACUCAGAAAGACUAUGCAAAAUUGAAAUACAUAAAAAAAAGCUUAACACGGUGCUGAUGGAUUUUGCCUAAUGUUCCAAAUGGGUCACAAGACUGUUACCUAACUAAGAUAGAUACUUAGACAUUAGAGGUGGCUCACUUUGCAUGAGUACAUAGAUAGCCAUACUAUUUAUUUGAAUAUUUUUUUGUAAUUUUAUUUGAGCUUUUUAAUGCGUAAUUUUAUGCUUAUUUAUUCAUAAAAAUAUAUAUUUUACCAAUGUUACCCAUUUAACACUUUGCAUUAGGCAAGUAGUUGGGAUGCAGCAAACAGGCCAAGCAGAAAUGGUCCUUAAAUAAUAAUGUGGGGAGAAAAUAAUUUAUUAGAUUUCCAAUCUCCCUGCACGACCUGACCCAAACUGCGUUUUGUCCCAUUGAAAUUAUAUUUUGGCUUGCAAGGAAAAUAUCUAGAGGUAAAAGUAGGUCUGAAGGUAUUGUAGAUCCUACCCCAACCUCCCCACACCAAAAAAAAGUAAAAAUUUAAGUAAAGGAGGAUGCAAUCAUAAGACCCCUAGAUGUUCUUACAGUUACGCAGAAACCCUAAGGAAUAAGGGAAAGACCUUGUUUAGAGAAUAGCCCAUUUAAAAUACAAGAAAGACAUGUGAAAACAGUGGAGGCAGUAAAAGGUGUUUAGAAAAUUGCCUUAAAAGACCAAAUUUCUGUUCCAUUUGAAGGAACCAUCCAAACGUAUAAAGCAGAGAUUGCAGUAGCUCGAUAUACCGGAUCUACAGCUAUUGCAAGCCAACAUUUCAUAUAUCCCCAAAGAAAACACAAAACAAAUUACUUAAAGGACCACUAUAGUGCCAGGAAAACAUACUCGUUUUCCUGGCACUAUAGUGCCCUGAGGGUGCGCCCACCCUCACGGACCCCCUCCCGCCCGGCUCUGGGGAGAGGAAAGGGGUAAAAACGUACCUUUUUCCAGCGCUGGGCGGGGAGCUCUCCUCUUCCGAUCCUCCUCCGAUCCUCCCCUUCGGCUGAAUGCGCACGUGCUGCAAGAGCUGCGCGCGCAUUCAGCCGGUCGCAUAGGAAAGCAUUCACAAUGCUUUCCUAUGGACACUGGCGUGCUCUCACUGUGAAAAUCACAGUGAGAAGCACGCUAGCGCCUCUAGCGGCUGUCAAUGAGACAGCCGCUAGAGGCUUUGGGGGAAGGAUUAACCCAUUCACAAACAUAGCAGUUUCUCUGAAACUGCUAUGUUUAUAAAAGAAUGGGUUAACCCUAGCUGGACCUGGCACCCAGACCACUUCAUUAAGCUGAAGUGGUCUGGGUGCCUAGAGUGGUCCUUUAACGGUUACAUUGUCUCAUGGAUUAUUCCUUCAAUUAUGUACGAUUUAACAUUUAGCAAACUAUGAUGCAUUUUAUUCAUUACUGUUUGGAAUGUUCCGGUAUUUGUGGAAAGUAAAAAAUGUUGCACUCUUUCGUAAAAAAUUUAAAUUAAAAAAGGAGAUCUUGUAUAUUCACUGCUGUAAUUUGCCAUAAUAUGUUAUGUUUAUAAUAAAUGCUGAGUAACUGAAAUAAAGGCAAUUUGUAAAACAUA
This 8601-nucleotide long non-coding RNA is filed under the name Pelobates cultripes (western spadefoot toad). The record is from RNAcentral. Lineage: Eukaryota; Metazoa; Chordata; Amphibia; Anura; Pelobatidae.